This 1134-nucleotide long non-coding RNA is filed under the name Vombatus ursinus (common wombat). Its description in RNAcentral is "lncRNA (ENSVURG00010021396.1)". Lineage: Eukaryota; Metazoa; Chordata; Mammalia; Diprotodontia; Vombatidae. The record is from RNAcentral.
GCCACCAACACUCAGACCUCUGCCUGGCCUAUGCGACCUCUUCUGGGGUUGGGGUCUGUAGGCCUGGGGAGGGUUACAGAGAAUUACUCGCCAUAGCAAUGCCAGGCACUACUAUUUAGUUGUAAGUUUGGGGACUUUGUGGGUAAAUGCCUCUUGGAGUCUAGAAAGGAACUUAGAGGCAGCUCCUGCGCCCAACAUGCUGCCCCAACCACAUUGCCCUGGAAACAUUCCCAAGAGUGGUCAGAACCAGAUUUUAAUAUAAUAUGCAGCCCAUAAGGACCCUGCUACGCUGUUGAGUGGCCCCUGUUUCUGUUUGAGUCUGAUAUGGCUGCUCUGGUCCGACACCCCCAGUCAGCAGAUAAGAAACUGAGAUCCAAGACAAGAGAAGACUCGGCACGGGUCACAGGUACAACACACAGCCAAGCGUUGUAAGCCCAGUGCUUCAUUCAGCCUGCCAUCUUGGGGGUUGUAGGCCUCUCAUGGGGAAGUGCACAGCUUGCAUUUUCUCUAGGUAGGACUGGCCCUGACCAUGUGGGGAUAAUGAGGUUUCACAAAGAUGCAGGGUCCUAUCUGGAAGUGACCACAGAGUAGGGGGUUAUCUCUUGGUGACCUGUGAAUACCUCUAUGCCUUCAGCACCUGAAGUGAGAAGGGCACCUGUGGCUGCCUCCAGGCUUUCCUAAACAUUUCACUUAGGUGCACAGUGUUUUCUAUGUUUAUUUUCUUCUUUGGGACAAAACUCCCUGAAGGCCAAGUCUCUGCGUGUUGUGUGUGACCUGUAGUAGUCACCUCCUUGUGGGUGAGGAUCAGCGUCAGGAUAACAACCUCCAUGAAAACCAUCCCAAGGAGACCUCUCAGUGCCUUCCAUGGAUAGAGACAUGGAGCUGGACUGAGCCCUGUGUGGAGUCCUACAGGGAAGCCUGCAGGUGGAGGAACUCACAGCCCAUGUGGGGAAAUGAGCAGGAAGGAUACAUGUACGGUGCUUGACUGUGCAAGGCAGCCCGCAGAAAGAGACUGGAUAACCAGAACAGUUGUGUGCUCUUCCAGUGCAAUGUCUAAAAUUCCAGAAUAGUUUGGAAUGACUCACUGGGUCUUAUCCCACAAUAACAGGUGGAUUCCUGGUGCCUCACUCAAGG